This is a long non-coding RNA of Pan troglodytes (chimpanzee), 4763 nucleotides long. RefSeq lists it as uncharacterized. Lineage: Eukaryota; Metazoa; Chordata; Mammalia; Primates; Hominidae. The transcript is spliced from 4 exons. The record is from RefSeq and is a predicted model, not a curated record.
GGUUCACGUCAUUCUCCUGCCUCAGCCUCAUGAGUAGCUGGGACUACAGGCGUCCGCCACCACGCCUGGCUAAUUUUUUGUAUUUUUAGUAGACACAGGGUUUCACCGUGUUAGCCAGGAUGGUCUCGAUCUCCUGACCUCGUGAUCCGCCUGCCUCGGCCUCCCACAGUGCUGGGAUUACAGGUGUGAGCCACCGUGCCCGGCCAAAUAUUUUUUAAGAACAGAGAUUUUUAGCAUCCAGCUGUAAGUCGUCUGAGAUUCUGUGAUAGGAAAACUCCUCCAUCGCCUCCAGAUUCUCAGUAGUCUGUUACACUCACCAAAACCUUAAGGAUUAUGAAGUCACACUGAAUUCCCAGAAGAUCAGACCCACCCAUCUCCAAAUAUGACAACAAAAACACAUUCCAGAGCCAAAUAUAAACGCAUUUUUAAUUAUCUGCGCCACUGCUCCCUCCCAUUAGUGUGGGAAAUCAAGAAUCUUGAGCCCUUCAGGGGCUGAGGUUGAAUCUGGUACAACAUCUCUGCCUGUAUCUGGUGCCCAGCCUAGAAGCUGGUGUAGAUGAGGGGCCAGGAAAGGGAUGGAGGAUCCUGCAGCAUGGCCUGGGAAUGCAGGACUUCAACGACAAUGAAGAAGAAAUACUGCCAAGAGCUGAGGUACCACUGGCAUCACUUGGGCCUGUGCCAUUCUGCCCACGUCCCCUUGGAAGUACAGAAUGGAGUACAGAAUCCCCCUCCUAUCUGGACUAGGCAGGGAGUGGAGGUGUGACGAGGCCUUGCCAGCCGCUCUUCAUGGUGGGAAUAUAUUCAAAUCCAGCCUCACCUGGAUAUCCCCCAGGAAUUGUGAGCCCACCAGUACCCAGCACCAUCUGCCUUCCGCUGGCUUAUCAGCCUUUUAGUGAUGAAAGGGGGACCAGCCCAUGACGAGGGAUGGUUGCCAUCUGAAAUGGUCAUCUUAGCAGAAACCAUGAAACAAACCUUCAUUUACAUGGACAAUAAUGCUAACAACAUUUAGAAAAAGGUUUGGAAUGUUGCCCCAGACUCCCUCAAAUCAACAAAAUAUGGAAUCUAGCAGUGACCCUUAUGAAAUACACAGGCCUGAAGGUAGAUUGGUUCCUACGGACAAGAAAAUAAUAUUUCUUUUUCAUUUCCAGCCUAGAAAAUUUGGCCAGCAUCCCAGCUGGCCACAGUACACGGAAGUCAGUUCAAAUAGAGAUUCCUGCCUCCCCUUGUUUGCAAGAGUUACUUGUAUAAAAACAGUCAACAAACGAAUCAGCCAGAUGAGCUUUCCUUCCUUUAUUCAGUCAGACAGUGUUUUAUGUCGGGAAUCCAUGUAGAAACAAAUUCAUGUGCUAGGUGCUGAUGAGAAACCUGAAUUUGCUGAUCUGGUUAUAUAAACUGUGCUGAGAUAGGCUGAAGGGAGAAGGCCCAGUGGAGAGCCAACCUGCAGUCGACUCUCUUCUGCACAUCAGCAAUAAGACUUGCAGCCUGGUGGCCAGUAUGGACCGUCCAUUCCUCUUUCUACGGCAGCUAAUAUUCAUCAAGGUCGUUGAUGUGCCAGGCAUUGUGCAAAGUUCUUUGCACGUACUGCCUCAUUUUGUCUCACAGCAGCCUUAUGAAGUGGGCUAUUAUUAUGUCUGAGGCUAAUCUCUAAGGCUCGGAAACAGAGAUAAUGCAUCUGAAGUCAUGAAGCUGGUAAGUCCGGAAGCCAAGAUUGGGGGAAGAUUCUCCAAGACAGGGGAAGCCACGAUUUGGGUUUGCUUUUGUUUCUUUGAGACAGUCUCAUUCUGUCACCCAGGCUGGGGUGCAGUGGCACAAUCUUGGCUCAGUGCAACCUCUGCCUCCCAGGCUCAAGCGAUCCUCCUGCCUCAGCCUCCCAAGUAGCUGGGACCACAGGGGCAUGCCACCACACCCAGAUCAUUUUUUUAUUUUUUGUACAGAUGGGGUUUCACCAUGUUGCCCAGGCUAAUCUUGAACUCUUGGGCUCAAGUGAUCCGCCCACUUGGGCCUCACAAACUGCUGAGAUUACAGGUGUGAACCACCUUUCAAAUUUGAUGAAAACUAAAUCCACAGAUCCAAAGCUCAAUGAACUGCCUCCAAAAGCAUAAAUAUAAAGAAAACCCAAGCUAUGUCACAUGAUAAUACAAUCACUAAAAAUCAGUGAUGAAGAGAAAAUCCUAAAAGCAACCAGGGAAAGAGGACACAUUACAUAUCAAAUAAGAAAGAUCAGAAUGAAAGCAGUCUUCUCAUAAGAAACUAUGUAAUCUGGAAGACUAUUAAGGUGACAUUUAAAAAAUAAUGAAAUAAAAACAAUCUGUCCAUUUGUAAUCAUACCUACAAUUUUUUUAAAUGAAGGCAAGAUAGUUUUUUUCCAGACAAACAAAAUCUUAGAGAAUUAAUCACCAGUAGACUUGAACUAUAAGAUAUGUAAAAGUAGUUUCUUCAGGCAGAAGAAAAAUGGCACCAGAUAGAAAUUGGGUCUAUGCAAAGGAAUAAAAAGUGCCAGAAAUGGUAAAUAUGUGGAUAAGUAUAAAAUAUAUAUUUUUAUAAUUUUUAAAUCUCUUUAAAAGAUUACUGGCUAAAGUAAAAAUAACAAUGUAUUUUGGAGUUUGUAACAUCUACAGAAAUAAAAUGUAUGAUAACACCAGCACAAAAGAUGGGAGCGUGGGAUAAAAGAACACUGUUUAUGAUUUUUACCCCAUGUGUGAAGUAAUAUUUUUUAAUGGCAGCAAGUUAAAAAUGUAUAUUGUAAACUCAAGAGCAACCUCUGAAAAACAAAACAAUACCAAAAAGGAAAUAUAGUUAAUAAGCCAAGAAUGGAAAUAAAAGGAAAUAAUAAAACAUGAAUGCAAAAGAAGGUGGGAAAAGAGGAAAUAAGGAAAAAAUAACAGAUGAAAUCAGUGGAAGACAAAUAGCAAGAUGGAAUAUUCAAACCCAACCAUAUUGUUAAUUACUUUAAAUAUAAAUGGUCUAAUGAUACUAAUUAAAAGUCACAGACUUUCAGUUUAAAUAAAAAAGGGUGCAAGGCCUAAUCAAAUGCUGUCUUUAAGAAACUUAUUUUAUUUUAGAUUCAGUGGGUGCCUGAGUAACUAUGGGGCUUGGGCUUCUAUUGAACCCAUCACCCAAAUAGUGAACAUAGUACCCAGUUGGUAGUUUUACAAUCCUUGUCACUGUCCUUUCUUUUGAAGUUGCCAGUGUCUGUUAUUUCCAUCUUUGUGCCUGGAUGUACCUACCGUUUAGCUCCCCCUUACAAGUGAGAACAUGUGGUAUUCGAUUUUCUGUUCUUGCAUUAAUCCACUUAGGAUAAUGGCCUCUAGCUACAUCCAGGUUGCUGCAAAGGACACAAUUUUUUUCUUUUUUAUGGCUGCAUAGGAUUCUGUAUAUGUGCCAUAUUUUCUUUAUCCAGUCCACCAUUGAUGAGCACCUAGGUUGAUUCCAUGACUUUGCUAUUGUGAAUAGUGCUGCAAUAAACAUAGGAGUGCUGAUGCCUUUUGGUAGAAUGAUUUCUUUUCCUCUGAGUAGGUUCCCAGUAGUGGGAGUGCUGGGUUGAAUAUGGUAGUUUUAUUUUUAAUUCUUUGAGAAAUCUGUAAACUGCUUUCCACAGGGGCUGAACUAAUUUACUUUCCUGCCAACAGUGUAUAAGUGUUCCCUUUUCUAUACAGGCUUACCAAUACCUGUUAUUUUUUGAUUUUUUAAUAAUAGACAUUCUGACUGGUAUGAGCUGGCAUCUCUUGUGAAGAAGCCUAUUUUUUAUUUUUAGUAGAGAUGAGGUCUCACUAUGUUGCCCAGGUUGUUUCAAACUCCUGAGCUCAAGUGAUCCUCCUGCCUCGGCCUCCCAAAGUGCUAAUAUAGGUUAGUAUUAGUGAUUGGUUUUGGCAUGAGCCACCAUGCCCAGCCAAAGCCUAUUUUAAAUAUAAAGACAAAAGUAAAAAGUAGAAGGAUGAAAAAGAUAUACCAUGCUAACAUUAAUCAAAAGAAAGUCAAAGUGGCUGUAUUAAUAUCAGUCAAAGGAGAUUUCAGGACAAGAAAUAUGAGAGAAAUAUGUCAUCAUGAAAAAGGGAUCAAUUCAUCAAGAAGAUACGAUAAUCCUAAAUCUUUUUGCAACUGAUAAUAGGACUUAAAAUUCAUGAAGCAAACACUAAUAGAACUGCAAGAAGAAAUACAACUAUGUAAUUAUGGUCAAAGAUUUCAGCAUUCCUGUGGUAAGCAGAAUAAUAGUCCUCCAAGGCUGAUCAUGUCUUACUCCCUGGAACCCAUGAAUCUGUUGCCUUACACGGUGAAUGAGAAUUAAAGUUGCAGCUAGAAUUAAGGUUGAUAAUUACUAGGUUGGUGCAAAAGUAAUUGUGGUUUUUGCCAUUAUUUUCACCAACCUAAUAGCUGACAUCAACAUAGGGAAAUUAUCCUAGGUUGAAUUGGCCUAAUGUAAUCCCAGGGAUCCUCAAAAGUGGAAUGAGGAAGAGGGAGGAAGAAGAGGAGGUCAAGUGAUGCAAUGUGAGAUAGACUCAAUCUGCCAUUGUUGGCUUCAAAGAUGGUGGAAGGGACCACAAACCAAGGAAUGAAGGCAGCUUCUGGAAGCUGGAAGAGGCAAGACAACAGGUAAUUUCCCAGAGCCACCAGAAAAGAAAGCAGUCCUGCCAACACCUUGAUGUUAGCCCACUAAGAUGCAUCUCAAACUGUUCUGACCUACAGAAUUGCAUGAUGAUACAUUUAUGUUGUUUUAAGCUGCACGUUUUGUGGCAGUUUGUUAUAGCAGCAAUAGAAAGCUCAUA